CCUCCGGGGGGGGCUCUGCUCGUGGGGGCCCGCCAGAAAACCAAACUCUGAAUGUUAGUGAUGGGUGAAUACUAUCUAAUAAUUAAAACUUUCAACAACGGAUCUCUUGGUUCUGGCAUCGAUGAAAAACGCACCGAAAUGCGAUAAGUAAUGUGAAUUGCAGAAUUCAGUGAAUCAUCGAAUCUUUGAACGCACAUUGCGCCCUGUGGUAUUCCGCAGGGCAUGCCUGUUCGAGCGUCAUUUAACCACUCACGCCUAGCGUGGGGUUGGGGCACGCGGUCUCCGCGGCCCUCAAAAUUAUUGGCGGCGCCGGUGGGCUCUAAGCGUAUUACAUACUCCCGCUAUAGAGUUCCCCCGGUGGGUCGCCACAACCCCCAAUUUUUACAGGUUGACCUCGGAUCACGUAGGGAUACCCGCUGAAC
This 422-nucleotide ribosomal RNA is filed under the name Phialocephala sp. 6 DL-2015. RNAcentral describes it as "eukaryotic LSU rRNA". The stretch from base 87 to 240 matches the Rfam family "5.8S ribosomal RNA". The record is from RNAcentral. Lineage: Eukaryota; Fungi; Ascomycota; Leotiomycetes; Helotiales; Mollisiaceae.